This 377-nucleotide long non-coding RNA is filed under the name Daucus carota (carrot). RNAcentral's name for it is "long non-coding RNA (DCAR_LNC001337)". Lineage: Eukaryota; Viridiplantae; Streptophyta; Magnoliopsida; Apiales; Apiaceae. The record is from RNAcentral.
UUUUCAUGCACAUCUUCCUCGCAUUAAGAAUGUAAUCUUCCUGCAGGCACAGAUGGAACAAUCGCUUGUAUGGCUUCUUACUAUGUAUGCAGCUCCAUAUUCAACUCCAUAAUGGCACUUGCUGGUGAUACUAAUGUAAGCAUAAUAUCUGUAACAAAAAUCUCAAACAUUAUUCACAAAAUCCUACUAUGAUGAAGUCUUUAUCUUAUGGCAACUGUUGUUUUUAGCUUUAAAUAGCACAGUGAGGCAAAAUCAUUAUUACCGAAAGAUUAGCCAAAGCACAGAAGAGUUGAUAAUUUCGUUUGAUUCAUCUGCAGUACUAUGACAUCCGGAAAAAGUGUGAGGGGAGGCUGUGUUACGAUUUUUCAAAUGCAGAA